CGUUUGCUCCCAGUGGCCCCGUGGGAUGUUUUGGUGACAGCGGGGGGGGCGUCCUGAGCCCUGCAGGCUGGGUCUGGGGGGGGGUGUCACCCACCCACCUCCCUGCUGAGCACGGGUGGAUUUUGGGGCAUUUCCAGGCUUUUUGCUCCAGUUCCCAAGGGACGGGUGGUUCCCGUUGGCAGAGGGAAAGGCCACGUGUCCCCGGCCGUGGGAGCUGGAGCGGGGCCGGGGCUGUCCGGGGGGGGGUCCUGCCCCCCCCAAACCCCCCAGCCCCAGCAGCUCUGCUCCUCCCCGCACCAAGCCACUGCCAGCCUUGGGGUGGGGGGGUCAGGCUGUGCCCGUGGGAGCUGCUGCGGACCACGAUGGAGCAGGAGCGCGGCUGGGUGGCAUGGGGGGGCCCGGGGGUUGCCAGCACCCCCAAACCCAAAAUGCAGAUGGCGGGGGGGGUGUCCAUGGAAGGGGGGGCGUGCACAGGUGCAUGAUGCAUGUGGUGUGUGCAACACGUAUGUGUUGUGUGUGUGCACGCAGGUGUGUGUGAGUGAGUGUGCGGUGCACGCUCUGGGUGUGGGGAGGGGGGCACAGGGUGGCACAGGGGGUGCUUGGGGUGCAUGCAGGGUGCAUGGGGUGGUGCAGGGGAUGCCAUGGGAUGCACACGGGGGGGCACGGGGGGUGCAUGGGACGCAUGCAGGGUGCACGGGGGUGGCACAGGGGGUGCUUGGGGUGGCAUGGGGGUGCACGGGAUGCACGCGGGGUGGCACAGGGAGUGCUUGGGGUGGCACAGGGGGUGUCAUGGGAUGUGCGUGGUGUGGCACGGGGGAUGCUUGGGGUGACAUAGGGCGUGCCAUGGGAUGCACCUGGGGUGGUACAGGGGUGCCACGUCUUGCACACCCUCUGGUCGUGCCCCGCUGGAGCCGCGUCCCCAGGUCGGGCGAGGUGACAGCGGCGAGGCCGAAGGAGCGGGAUCUCCUCGCAGGCGUGAAGCUGCCGUCUAAGGACCUUAAGCUCUCCAAAGCCGAUCAGCCCCGCACCGGGGCUGCCGUGGGGCUGGGGGCCGGGCCACGGGGCUGCCCCACGCCGUGCCCCCCAGCAGGUGAGCUGGGGGCCAUGGGGACACGGGCAGGGGCCGUGCACCCAGGUGAGUUACCCAAGGGGUGCUGGUGGGGGGGGUGCAGCCAUUUGGGGGUGCAGCGUGGGGCUGACCCAUAGCAUGUGGGGAGCCAGGGGACAAGGGGGCAGUGGCGAUGUCCUUGCUGUGACACCAAGCAGGGAGCGGAGGUGACACCCGUGGGUGCUAUAGCGCCCUGCCCACCCGGUGCUGCCUUAAGCAGGAUCAUCCCCUUAAGGGGUUUAUUGGCACCCAGGGAGCGGGGGCUUUGCUGGGGGGGUGCACGGGGUGGCUCUGCUGGGCUAAUUGGCUCAGGGGCUUAAUGAAGGCACUGCCGCCAUGCGUCCUCCUGUGCCCCCUCCCACAGGGUUGCCGGCAGGUCCCCAAACUGGGGCUGCUGUGGUGGGGGCCCUCAUUUUCAACACCCCCCAAUAUUAUAAACCCAAAGCAGAGCCCCCCAGGCAGUCUGCGGCCCCCUCCAGCCCAGGGGUGUCCUGGCAGCACCGGCUGUGGGGGGACACCCAGACAGGGCUAUGGGUGCUUGCUGCCCCCCCCCCAGUGCCCCGGUCCCUCCCCAGGGCUGCAGCGCUGCGUGUCCAUGCGCUGCCGCAGAUUACACAGUGCCCG
Molecule: long non-coding RNA, 1732 nt
Filed under: Anser cygnoides (Swan goose)
Lineage: Eukaryota; Metazoa; Chordata; Aves; Anseriformes; Anatidae
Description: lncRNA (ENSACDG00005016015.1)
Source: RNAcentral